This 775-nucleotide ribosomal RNA is filed under the name uncultured Neocallimastigales. RNAcentral's name for it is "partial large subunit ribosomal RNA". It matches the Rfam family "Eukaryotic large subunit ribosomal RNA", at positions 23 to 620 of the family's 3401-position model. Lineage: Eukaryota; Fungi; Neocallimastigomycota; Neocallimastigomycetes; Neocallimastigales. The record is from RNAcentral.
AGAGAGAGACAUGCGCGCAUAUCAAUAAGCGGAGGAAAAGAAACUAACAAGGAUUCCCUUAGUAACGGCGAGUGAAGCGGGAAGAGCUCAAAUUUGAAAUCUUCAAGGUUUUACCUUGACGAAUUGUAGUUUAAAGAAGUGUUUUCUGCUGAAGUUUUGGUAAAAGUUCUUUGGAAUAGGACAUCAUAGAGGGUGAGAAUCCCGUAUUUGACCAUUAUUUUCAGCUUUGUGAUUACACUUUCAAAGAGUCGGAUUGUUUGGGAAUGCAGUCCAAAAUGGGUGGUAAAUUUCAUCUAAAGCUAAAUAUUGGCGAGAGACCGAUAGCGAACAAGUACCGUGAGGGAAAGAUGAAAAGAACUUUGAAAAGAGAGUUAAACAGUACGUGAAAUUGUCAAAAGGGAAGCGUUUGACACCAGUGUUGUUUUCUCGAAAAUCAAUUAAAAAUGGCUCGAUUUUGUAUUGCUUGAGACCUUAAAAGCUCACUGUACAUUUUUCGUGUCUUUUUUAAUGCACUUUUCGUUUAACAAGUCAACAUCAGUUUCUUUUGUUGUAAAAGGGUCAUUGGAAGGUGGCUUUCUUUUCGGAGAAAGUGUUUAUAGCCUUGGCCUCUGCAAUCGGAGAGACUGAGGUCUGCAGCGUAGACUCUUCGGGGUUAGAUACAUUUGUGCUAAGUUAUAGCUUUUUAUAGACAACUUGUUGACUAUAAUUAGUCUUGUAGCUUACUCGCUUAUGCUAUUUUACCUACGCUUAGGAUGUUGAAGAUGUAGCACAUCAU